RNAcentral lists this non-coding RNA (197 nucleotides) under Perkinsus marinus ATCC 50983. RNAcentral describes it as "Eukaryotic small subunit ribosomal RNA". It matches the Rfam family "Eukaryotic small subunit ribosomal RNA", at positions 1633 to 1831 of the family's 1831-position model. The record is from Rfam by way of RNAcentral. Lineage: Eukaryota; Perkinsozoa; Perkinsida; Perkinsidae.
AGCUUGGCGUUGAUUACGUCCCUGCCCUUUGUACACACCGCCCGUCGCUCCUACCGAUUGAGUGAUCCGGUGAGCUGUCCGGACUGCGAUUAGUUCAGUUUCUGUUCUCUUCGCGGGAAGUUCUGCAAACCUUAUCACUUAGAGGAAGGAGAAGUCGUAACAAGGUUUCCGUAGGUGAACCUGCGGAAGGAUCAUUC